Culex pipiens (northern house mosquito) is the source of this 74-nucleotide transfer RNA. It matches the Rfam family "tRNA". From Rfam's summary of the family: Transfer RNA (tRNA) molecules are approximately 80 nucleotides in length. Their secondary structure includes four short double-helical elements and three loops (D, anti-codon, and T loops). The record is from Rfam. Lineage: Eukaryota; Metazoa; Arthropoda; Insecta; Diptera; Culicidae.
GCCCGUGUGGAUCAAUCGGACCGCCCACUGGACUUACAAUCCAGAAGUUGCUGGUUCGAAUCCCGCGGCGGGCG